RNAcentral lists this ribosomal RNA (253 nucleotides) under uncultured bacterium. Its description in RNAcentral is "partial 16S ribosomal RNA". It matches the Rfam family "Bacterial small subunit ribosomal RNA", at positions 524 to 776 of the family's 1533-position model. The record is from RNAcentral.
UACGUAGGGUCCGAGCGUUGUCCGGAAUUACUGGGCGUAAAGAGUUCGUAGGUGGUUUGUCGCGUUGUUCGUGAAAACUCACAGCUUAACUGUGGGCGUGCGGGCGAUACGGGCAGACUUGAGUACUGCAGGGGAGACUGGAAUUCCUGGUGUAGCGGUGAAAUGCGCAGAUAUCAGGAGGAACACCGGUGGCGAAGGCGGGUCUCUGGGCAGUAACUGACGCUGAGGAGCGAAAGCGUGGGGAGCGAACAGG